RNAcentral lists this ribosomal RNA (505 nucleotides) under uncultured bacterium. RNAcentral describes it as "partial 16S ribosomal RNA". It matches the Rfam family "Bacterial small subunit ribosomal RNA", at positions 28 to 507 of the family's 1533-position model. The record is from RNAcentral.
GACGAACGCUGGCGGCGUGCCUAAUACAUGCAAGUCGAACGCACAGUUUAUACCGUAGCUUGCUCCACCAUAGACUGUGAGUUGCGAACGGGUGAGUAACGCGUAGGUAACCUGCCUGGUAGCGGGGGAUAACUAUUGGAAACGAUAGCUAAUACCGCAUAAUAUUAAUUAUUGCAUGAUAAUUAAUUGAAAGGUGCAAUUGCACCACUACCAGGUGGACCUGCGUUGUAUUAGCUAGUAGGUGAGGUAACGGCUCACCUAGGCGACGAUACAUAGCCGACCUGAGAGGGUGAUCGGCCACACUGGGACUGAGACACGGCCCAGACUCCUACGGGAGGCAGCAGUAGGGAAUCUUCGGCAAUGGACGAAAGUCUGACCGAGCAACGCCGCGUGAGUGAAGAAGGGUGUCGGAUCGUAAAGCUCUGUUGUAAGAGAAGAACGGGUGUGAGAGUGGAAAGUUCACACUGUGACGGUAGCUUACCAGAAAGGGACGGCUAACUACGUG